RNAcentral lists this ribosomal RNA (2001 nucleotides) under Triticum aestivum (bread wheat). Its description in RNAcentral is "partial small subunit ribosomal RNA". Lineage: Eukaryota; Viridiplantae; Streptophyta; Magnoliopsida; Poales; Poaceae. The record is from RNAcentral.
GAGGCGGCGGAGCGGUGGGAGCGGAGUCGGAGUGGGAGUGGCGGCCGGGGGUCGGGGAGAGGGGUUGGGGACGGGCUACUGCAGGGGCCGCGGUCGCGGCGGUCGCCGGCGGCGCCGCGUCAGGGGCGGGGGCGCGUAGCCGGAGCGGCCGGAGCGGUGGUACCCGGUCUUGGAGCGCGAGUUGUAGCGGCUCUUCCCGAAGGGCUAGAGGCAGAUGUUGGCGUGGCGGCGGUUCCAGCUGAGGUGCGAGAGGGCGCGGCGGCGGCUCCCGCGCGAGGGGCACGAGCCGGUGGCGCUGGGCGCCCUGAAGCACGAGAGGGAGCGCGCGGGGGCGUGGCAGCACGAGGAGCAGGUCCGGCCGGGGCGGCAGCUGCGGUGAUAGCUGCGGGAGAGCGGGAUGGAGCUGCGGCCGCUGCGGUAGCAGCUGCCGCCGUUGCUCACCAUGGUCUUGUGCCUCGCGGCGUAGCUCGUCCGGCGUAGGGCCCCCUAUGAGAUGGAGCCGUACCCGCAGAGGCCGCCGCUCCUCCCGCGCGCCUUGCCGGGGAGCGAGUACGGGCCGCCGCUGAAGGUCCGGAUGUCGUUGUAGUUCCUGUAGGAGCUCUUUCGGCGCCGAGUCUGCCUCCUGCCGGGCACGCAGUGCAAACAGCCCGGGCCACCGCGGCCGUUGAAACAGUUCUACCACGUGUUGCCCUAGCUCAUACCACUAUACGUCGAGUAGCGGCUUCGGAUACUGCACGAGGUGGCACAACCGCCGGAGAGUUUAAGCCUCUAUCGGCUACACAAACGACUCACCUUGUUCCCUCUCGACCUCUCGAAGAACCACCUCUAAUGACGUCUGUAUAAGUGACACCGACUAGGUGACCUUCCCUCGUGGCCACCCCGCGACCAACUGUUCUAAGAACUGUUCUGGCCCUACUUCCCCUGGCCCUUCACCUGCCACGUCGUCCGCCGCCUCGAACGUCAGCGACGCGGGUGCUAACGUCGUAGCGACCUACCCUCCAUGAACAGCCCCGAGUUCCUACUCGCUCAACGUCGGCGUUCACACGAUCUCCUUCUCCCCUACGGUCAACCCGAAGACCUCUUCUAAUUACAGCUAUUCUUCCACGACCACCUGUCCCACUCCGUCCGUGAAAUAAGCAGGUUCCAAACGUCGAUGCGUGUCCCCUACUUAGACGAUUCUCGGUUCUCACACCUCGUCCCGACCUUAGAAUUGGAACGGCUCGAAAGUUCCUAAACCUUCCCACCUACGUAAUAAGCCCGUUCCAAAGAACUAUCCUAAUUCUUCCGAAUACUGUCCUUGGGACUCGACCGGUUAAACUAACAGCUGUCCCUCAAGCGGUCCCUCUACCACGUCUCCGUCCCGCGUACCGCCACCCAACACCGGGCCCGUCAUCUCCGACCCUAAUCGUGGGGUCCCUACAGACGCUCGGAAAGUAUGAAACUAUGGAUGUCCACGUUGGCCAACGGUCGCUUAGACUAGGUUCGUGUCUCCCUGAACAAACCUCGUGUGUGGAUACUCGCGUAACUGGCGGGUCCAAGAAAGGUGUGGCUCACCUGAUUCGACCGUUCCCUCCCGUUCACUUACUGAAACGUCGGUGGACUCCUUAAACCACCAUGGUAUACACCAGAGCCACUAAGCCCCACUACAGAGAAGCACCAAGAGAAAUUAAAUAGAUAACGACAAAAACGUUAUGCUCUAGACUUAACACAUGGAACUUAUUACAUCACAGAACACGACAUACGUGCACUUCUUGUAAACACAUCGAAGUCCAAGAUACCAAAUCUAUGUGGGUCAAAAUAGGUGAAUAUUUAAACCUCGUUGCCAAAAUUACGGAGCGUAGGGUUACAACGGGAACUUCACACUAAAGCUUAUACAGUUAUACCACCAUUGACCAUUCUCAUCACUGACUACAAAGAGAUGAAGAUACUUAGAUAAAAUCCAACAAGUCACAACGUUCCAUCAUAAAGUAAAGUGGACGACACGACAGUGGGAUGACAACC